Molecule: ribosomal RNA, 406 nt
Filed under: uncultured bacterium
Lineage: Bacteria
Description: partial 16S ribosomal RNA
Rfam family: Bacterial small subunit ribosomal RNA
Source: RNAcentral
AUUGAACGCUGGCGGCAGGCCUAACACAUGCAAGUCGAACGCGUGGCGGACGGGUGUGUAAUGUCUGGGACACUGCCUGAUGGAGGGGGAUAACUACUGGAAACGGUAUCUAAUCCCGCAUACCAUCGUCUGUGCCCAGAUGGGAUUAGCUAGUAGGUGGGGUAAUGGCCCACCUAGGCGACGAUCCCUAGCUGGUCUGAGAGGAUGCCCAGCCACACUGGCACUGAGACACGGUCCAGAAUCCUACGGGAGGCAGCAGUGGGGAAUAUUGCACAAUGGGCGCAAGCCUGAUGCAGCCAUGCCGCGUGUAUGAAGAAGGCCUUCGGGUUGUAAAGUACUUUCAGCGGGGAGGCGUUACCCGCAGAAGAAGCACCGGCUAACUCCGUGCCAGCAGCCGCGGUAAUAC